RNAcentral lists this ribosomal RNA (492 nucleotides) under uncultured bacterium. Its description in RNAcentral is "bacterial SSU rRNA". It matches the Rfam family "Bacterial small subunit ribosomal RNA", at positions 28 to 517 of the family's 1533-position model. The record is from RNAcentral.
GAUGAACGCUGGCGGCGUGCUUAACACAUGCAAGUCGAACGAAGCACUUUAUUAUGAUUUCUUCGGAAUGACGAUUUAGUGACUGAGUGGCGGACGGGUGAGUAACGCGUGGGUAACCUGCCUUAUACAGGGGGAUAACAGUUAGAAAUGACUGCUAAUACCGCAUAAGCGCACAGGAUUGCAUGAUCUAGUGUGAAAAACUCCGGUGGUAUAAGAUGGACCCGCGUCUGAUUAGCUGGUUGGUGAGGUAACGGCCCACCAAGGCGACGAUCAGUAGCCGACCUGAGAGGGUGACCGGCCACAUUGGGACUGAGACACGGCCCAAAACUCCUACGGGGAGGCAGCAGUGGGGAAUAUUGCACAAUGGGGGAAACCCUGAUGCAGCGACGCCGCGUGAGCGAAGAAGUAUUUCGGUAUGUAAAGCUCUAUCAGCAGGAGAAAAAAUGACGGUACCUGACUAAGAAGCCCCGGCUAACUACGUGCCAGCAGCCG